RNAcentral lists this unclassified non-coding RNA (1008 nucleotides) under Hevea brasiliensis (rubber tree). The record is from RNAcentral. Lineage: Eukaryota; Viridiplantae; Streptophyta; Magnoliopsida; Malpighiales; Euphorbiaceae.
UCAGUUACAAAUGACAAUCUUAUUAUCAACGUGUUCAACAGCUUAGAUGAGCCUUUUCUUAUCUCCUGGAAUGGAAUUCAACAAAGGAGAAACUCAUACGAGGAUGGUGUAUAUGGAACCACAUGCCCAAUUCCUCCAGGAAAGAACUUCACAUACAUUCUCCAAGUGAAGGACCAAAUAGGGAGCUUCUAUUACUUCCCUUCUCUUGGAUUCCACAAGGCUGCUGGUGGUUUUGGAGGAAUCAGAAUCCUUAGUCGCCCACGAAUUCCGGUUCCCUUCUCGGAUCCCGAUGGCGAUUACACUAUUCUUAUUGGAGAUUGGUACAAGUCUAAUCACACGGAUUUGAAGGCUAUUUUGGAUGGUGGUAACAGGCUACCAUUCCCUGAUGGAAUUCUCAUUAAUGGUCGCGGGCCUAAUGGUUAUUCACUUGCUGUUGAACGAGGAAAAACUUACAGGCUCAGAAUAUCAAAUGUUGGGUUGCAACAUUCACUCAACUUUCGCAUUCAGAAUCAUAAAAUGAAGUUGGUAGAAGUGGAGGGCACACACACUCUCCAGACUACCUACUCUUCACUUGACGUUCAUGUUGGCCAAUCUUACUCUGUUCUAGUAACAGCUGACCAGCCUGGACAAGACUACUACAUUGUGGUUUCUUCUCGGUUCACCACUCCCAUCCUCACCACCACUGGUGUUCUUCACUACAGCAACUCUGCUGGCCCUGUCUCUGGCCCACCCCCUGGUGGACCCACCAUUCAGGUUGACUGGUCUCUCAACCAGGCUCGCUCCAUUAGGACCAAUCUUACUGCAAGUGGACCAAGACCAAAUCCACAAGGAUCAUACCAUUAUGGUAUGAUCAACACAACCAGAACUAUCAGGUUCGCAAAUUCUGCUGGCCAAGUCAAUGGCAAACAGAGAUAUGCAGUGAACAGUGUGUCCUUUGUCCCAACAGACACCCCACUAAAGCUUGCAGACUACUUCAAAAUUCCGGGAGUUUUCCGCGAGAACAGCAUA